RNAcentral lists this ribosomal RNA (228 nucleotides) under uncultured bacterium. Its description in RNAcentral is "partial 16S ribosomal RNA". It matches the Rfam family "Bacterial small subunit ribosomal RNA", at positions 118 to 348 of the family's 1533-position model. The record is from RNAcentral.
UGAGCAAUCUGCCCUUCUCAUCGGAAUAAGCGUUGGAAACGACGUCUAAUGCCGAAUACGACCUCCUUUCGCAUGAUCGGAGGUGGAAAGCUCCGGCGGAGAAGGAUGAGCUCGCGGCCUAUCAGCUAGUUGGUGUGGGUAAUGGCACACCAAGGCGACGACGGGUAGCCGGCCUGAGAGGGUGACCGGCCACACUGGGACUGAGACACGGCCCAGACUCCUAGGAGG